AUGAUCUUCUCUGUUACCUAUGGUAGGAACUCCUCAUGGAUUUUCUUCUGUGAAGAAGAUACGAGAAUACAAGUUGUAAAGCUGCUAGAAACACUUGGAAGAUUUGACGGGUCUAAGGAGUGGUUUUUAGGUAAAGCAUUAUAUGAUGAAGAAUCGACAAUAAUUCACCAUUAUGCCUUUGCCGAAAAUCCUACAGUCUUUAAAUUUCCAGAUUUUGCUGCUGGUUGGGCACUUAGCAUUCCACUUGUUAACAAGCUUGCAAAGAAGUUGAAAAGUGAACCACUCAAGUCAGACUUUACAAUAGAUUUAAAGCAUGAGAUUGCCCUGUAUAUUUGGCAGAGAGGGGAAGGACCACAUCUUACUCCAGUGCCUGAGUUCUGCACAGAUGAUGUGAACUCAUAUAAGGUUGAACAUUGUGCAACAACAUUCAGUAAUUUUCUGCCACUUUGUGGAGAGCCAGUGAAAAAGGAAGAUGUUUUUGUUGCUGUAAAAACAUGUCGGAAAUUUCAUGGUGACAGAAUACCAGUUGUAAAGCAGACUUGGGAAAGAGAAGCUGCCCUUAUUGAAUACUACAGUGAUUAUGCAGACAUCUCCAUUCCUACUAUAGAUUUAGGCAUACCUAAUACUGACAGAGGUCACUGUGGGAAAACUUUUGCCAUUUUAGAAAGGUUUAUAAAUCAUAGCUCUCCCAGAACUCCUUGGUUAGUUGUAGUGGAUGAUGACACACUAAUAAGUAUCUUCAGACUCCGAAAAUUGCUCAGCUGCUAUGAUCCAAAUGAACCAGUAUUUCUUGGAGAGCGUUAUGGUUACGGCUUGGGAACAGGAGGAUAUAGUUAUAUCACUGGCGGAGGAGGAAUGGUCUUCAGCAGAAUAGCUGUUCAGAAACUACUUGCUAGUAAAUGCCGGUGUUACAGCAUGGAUGCGCCUGAUGAUAUGGUCCUUGGGAUGUGUUUCAGUGGCUUAGGAAUCCCUAUAACACACAGUCCACUUUUCCAUCAGGCAAGGCCAAUGGACUACCCGAAGGGUUACCUUUCUCACCAAAUUCCAGUAUCAUUUCACAAACAUUGGAAUAUUGAUCCAGUGAAGGUAUAUUUCACAUGGCUGGCACCAAACACAGAAGAGUCGCUUAAUGGAAAGAAAGUUAGAUAUAACAGAGAGGAUUUAUAAGCAGUAGAAGAAUGUAUGUGUCAAUUCAUGUACUGCAGAUAAGAGACAGUCACUACUGUGAUUUUUGUGGUGUUUUCACGUUGUUCAUCUCUUCGUGACAUAGAAGAAAAUGUUUUGUUCCCAUUUGUUGCAUUCCUUCAGAGCAAUGGAAGAAGGCACCUAAAUUGACUUUUGGAUUCUUUUGUUACACUUGUUUUCUUUUUAAAAUGUUUUUGGGAUUUGUAUACCAAUGAACUUGACACGCAUUUAAAAUGUCUCAUAUAACUUCACCUGUGUUCUGGUUUGGAGUUUGAGUCAGACAACAUCAAUUUACAUUUCCUUCCUUUGUUCUCCCAAAAGCUGAAGUGUAUUUGGGAGCCUGAUAUUGAACAUGUGUUGAACAUCUAUUGAACAUCAUCUCCCACAGAGCUACAGAAAAUUGUUCUCUAAACUGUUCUGGAACAGGUUCUUAAUAAAUCAGAGAGGAGACAUGAUAUUGUUUCUGUG
Molecule: long non-coding RNA, 1653 nt
Filed under: Otus sunia (Oriental scops-owl)
Lineage: Eukaryota; Metazoa; Chordata; Aves; Strigiformes; Strigidae
Description: lncRNA (ENSOSUG00000009813.1)
Source: RNAcentral